Molecule: long non-coding RNA, 2989 nt
Organism: Gymnodraco acuticeps
Lineage: Eukaryota; Metazoa; Chordata; Actinopteri; Perciformes; Bathydraconidae
Exons: 4
Source: RefSeq, a predicted model, not a curated record
AAACGUUCCUUUAAUGUGAUAUGUUAACAAAGGUGGAACGUUUUGCCUGGCUGCAACACUAAGGAUGUGUUUUGGACGUUGUUGGGUAACACAUUAAAGAUGUUCCCCCAAAGUGAGCCCUGCGAUGACGCCUCUGGACCCGACCCCUCCAACAGUUCCCAGAACCAAGAGGAGGGUAUCUCGACUUGUGAUGUUGCUGCAACCUGCAAAAGCCAUAGCAGGUACGUUUAUCACACAUCCUGAACAGCUUUAGUACAAGCUCUGACCUUUAUUCAGAGGGGUCUUGGAGGUUUUUGUGAACACUUGAUUUUUCUCUUUGGAUUCAAACAAUUCCCUUCAGUUCCUUGUGUAACCUGACAAUCUUUAAUUCAGCACACAGCAGGUCACCCACAUAUAAAACACCCGAAAGCUUGAUCUUUAGACACGACACCAUUUAACAUAUGAUUAAUAACAUGUUCUAAUGAUAACUGAUUCAUCACUGGGUGAGUGCAGUGCUUUGACAGAGUAAUCUGCUGUUAGUAGGAGAGAAGGCUGCCCGGGACUGCAGCCUCCAGACGACAAAUGAUAAACAAGUUGAACAGGUUGAGCUGCAGCCAUUGACCAAUCCGAUGGAAAGCCUCUGAAGGCUGGUAAGCAAUAAAGAUCUGUUGUACCAGAUCAGAGAAUACAUAUUUUUCAUGUUGCAAAUAAUUUGUUUGACAUUACAUUGAUGCAACCUCUUAGAAGAGCGUAAAAUGUUUCUUAAUUAGACUUUACAUUUAAAGUUAGCAAUGUUUACAGUAGCAGGUUUAACUGCAAGUGACUUUUUAUAUUUAUUUUAUUACUGACCAUCAUUUUUGUCAUGUAAACUCACGGGGAGAAGAAAGUGCAAAGCUUGAAAAUAUUGCAAGCUCUGGCACAACACCACUCCCAGACUCUCAAGACAAAACGCCAUGAAGAGUGUCUGGCUCUAUUUGACGAGGUAAAUAACCUACGCUCAGCAGUGGCCUGUGAGGCUAUGACCACGUUAGCCGAGCUGUAUGUGAACCUCAAAAAGGCAAUGGACUCGGAGGUCGAAGCCACAGGCCGAGCUCUGCUGCUCAAACUAGCGCAGACCGCCAGCAACUUUGUUCAGUAGCAGGCCAAUCUUGCACUGGGCGCCAUGGUGGAGAACUGCAGCCAUGGGCGGACAGUGAGCACUCUGUUGAACACGGGACUGAAUCACCGGUGUGUCGCAGUAAGAGGGAGCAUGGCCCAACACCUGCACCUCUAGGUCGACAGAUUUGGAGCAGCUUGCGUCUUGGCAGCAGGAACGAGCUUCACCGAACACUUCCUAAGAGCCGUCUCCAAAAUGUGUGUGGAUGCUGCACCAGACGUGAGGCACCACGGACAGAUCCUCCUCCAGAAGCUGGCUUCCAACCAGAGAUUUCUGAACCUGUGGACAAAGAUCAUCCCAGAAACAGAAAGAGCUCCGCUGGACAAGACCCUGAAGAAGUCCAAGCUGUAAAACUGGAGAACAUGUGCAAUAUAAAUAAAUAACUGCAUACUUCCUCAUCUUAUUCUUUUUGACUAAAAACACUUAGGCAUCCAGUCUAAUAUAGAGUGUUAACUGCUCGUUACAAUGAUACUGAAAAAUGCUGCCAAUAUAAAAUAUGUAGUCAUGAUGUUGCACUUUUGCAGAUUGCAGCAGGUUGUGAGCAGGUCAGGCAAGCAAUAUUUUCCCUUCUCACAUUGUUUUAUUAUAUGACUUUUAGAAGCCUAGAAUUGCAGAAUGAUUGUUUUCUGUUAAUCGUCUCAAAUGUACACUGUAAACAUGCACCCGGGUCAACUUCACCCGGGUACACAAACAACACAGAAGCAGCUAAUCCUCUGACUAUUAUGUGAAGUGAAAGUUGCCUGCGUUGACCAAAAUAAUGAAUGCACAUCAUAAGGUUAAGCGUCACAGACUUCCUUUUUCUCUGCCCCUCUCUGUGUACUGAACAUUUGAAUAUGUUCUCUUGGCAAACAGUGUUUGACUGUAAAUACACACCUCUUUUACAUGCGGGGUCAUAUUUUCUCUUUUCCUUUUAUUUCCAUCCUGUUUCUUUUCCAAGCUGUGAAAAGAGUUGCAGGAAUUGAAAAUGUAUCUGCAUUCCAGGAAAUACUGGAGAUUUGAAUAGAUAUCUGAUGGUCUACAAUAGCAGUGAAUCUUCAGGGGCGUCUCUGACACCACAACUUCAUAGUUGAAUUCAAAGCCCUUGAUUUUUCAAGAAGAAAAAAUACAUUCGACUAAAGGAUGCUUUCUUGUCCUUUAGUUAUUUAUUGCUCAUCUUAUUCAUUCAUUCCUCGUCAAUAGAUGUCCUUGACUGUUUUUGAAAGUAAAAUGGCAUUCAGUUCAAAUCAAUGACGUCAGUUUCUUCCUGUUAGAACACCUUUGACUCAUGUGCAACCUUGGUGCAGUCUCCAAACCUACAUGAAAUAAAGCCCACUGAUGACACUGACAACACCUACAGUCUCAUAUCUCUGUUGAGAUAUGAAGUUGCUUUUAGGAUGGAUUGAUGAAAAACAGAGAAAGGACAAAAAUGUUUCGCAUACAAUCUCUUGUCUUGUGAAAAGUACUUAUUCUUAUUUCAUCAACAAAAAAUUAUUUUUGACUUUCACAGCUCUAAAAUAUCUCAUAUGUAUUUAAUAAGGAGCCAACUCUUCCUCUCGAUAUUGCUAUUAGUGAGAAAAGACAGCUGGUCUGGAUAUUCAUGUAUAUUUCUCAGCACUAUUUUCAUCUGUGAGUUAAAGGGACUAUAGGGCCUUGAAAAUUGGUAUUUUGCACAGUAACACAAGUAGAGAUGUUCACAUGUGACCUCUGUGAGCUGUUUUGUUAAGUUAAAUGAGCAAGAACAAGUAUUUACAGACAUGCUAGCUGCUCUGUGUCGCUACACUAUAGGCCUUUGCUAAAAUAAAUGUCAUACAUUUUUCAGUGCAAGUUAAAUUAUUGGAAAUGUCGUCAUAUAGAGUUUUUGUAUUUUGUAUUAUG